Molecule: non-coding RNA, 113 nt
Organism: Trametopsis cervina
Lineage: Eukaryota; Fungi; Basidiomycota; Agaricomycetes; Polyporales; Irpicaceae
Source: the annotation of a GenBank genome assembly
GGCAAGAUGGCCGAGCGGUUAAGGCGUGUGACUCAAGCGCUUAAGCUUGCCGGUAAACACUGGUAUGUUUUCACAUAGGGAAACCUGCGUGGGUUCGAGUCCCACUCUUGUCA